GACGAACGCUGGCGGCGUGCUUAACACAUGCAAGUCGAACGGAAAGGCCUCUUUCGGGGGGUACUCGAGUGGCGAACGGGUGAGUAACACGUGUGUAACCUGCCCUUGACUUUGGGAUAACUUCAGGAAACUGGGGCUAAUACCGGAUAGGAGCUCCUGCUGCAUGGUGGGGGUUGGAAAGUUUCGGCGGUUGGGGAUGGACUCGCGGCUUAUCAGCUUGUUGGUGGGGUAGUGGCUUACCAAGGCUUUGACGGGUAGCCGGCCUGAGAGGGUGACCGGCGACAUUGGGACUGAGGUACGGCCCAGACUCCGACGGGAGGCAGCAGUGGGGAAUAUUGCACAAUGGGUGGAAGCCUGAUGCAGCAACGCCGUGUGCGGGAUGACGGCCUUCGGGUUGUAAACCGCUUUCGCUCAUGACGAAGCUUUGUGUGACGGUAGUGGGUAAAGAAGCACCGGCUAACUACGUG
This 467-nucleotide ribosomal RNA is filed under the name uncultured bacterium. RNAcentral's name for it is "partial 16S ribosomal RNA". It matches the Rfam family "Bacterial small subunit ribosomal RNA", at positions 28 to 507 of the family's 1533-position model. The record is from RNAcentral.